This 460-nucleotide ribosomal RNA is filed under the name uncultured bacterium. Its description in RNAcentral is "partial 16S ribosomal RNA". It matches the Rfam family "Bacterial small subunit ribosomal RNA", at positions 338 to 795 of the family's 1533-position model. The record is from RNAcentral.
CCUACGGGAGGCAGCAGUGAGGAAUAUUGGUCAAUGGACGAGAGUCUGAACCAGCCAAGUAGCGUGAAGGAUGACUGCCCUAUGGGUUGUAAACUUCUUUUAUAAAGGAAUAAAACGAGGCACGUGUGCCUUUUUGCAUGUACUUUAUGAAUAAGGAUCGGCUAACUCCGUGCCAGCAGCCGCGGUAAUACGGAGGAUCCGAGCGUUAUCCGGAUUUAUUGGGUUUAAAGGGAGCGUAGAUGGGUUGUUAAGUCAGUUGUGAAAGUUUGCGGCUCAACCGUAAAAUUGCAAUUGAUACUGGCAGUCUAGAGUACAGUUGAGGUAGGCGGAAUUCGUGGUGUAGCGGUGAAAUGCUUAGAUAUCACGAAGAACCCCGAUUGCGAAGGCAGCUUACUAAACUGUGACUGACAUUGAUGCUCGAAAGUGUGGGUAUCAAACAGGAUUAGAUACCCGGGUAGUC